UAAUACGUAGGCAGCGAGCGUUGUUCGGAGUUACUGGGCGUAAAGCGUGCGUAGGCGGUCUUGUAAGUCUGGUGUGAAAUCUCCCGGCUCAACUGGGAGGGUGCGCCGGAAACUGCAAGGCUGGAGUAUGGGAGAGGUAGGCGGAAUUCCUGGUGUAGCGGUGAAAUGCGUAGAUAUCAGGAGGAACACCUGUGGUGUAGACGGCUUACUGGACCAUGACUGACGCUGAGGCACGAAAGCGUGGGGAGCAAACAGGAUUAGAUACCCUGGUAGUCCACGCCCUAAACGAUGCAUACUUGGUGUGGGUAAUUCAUUUUAUCCGUGCCGGAGCUAACGCGUUAAGUAUGCCGCCUGGGGAGUACGGUCGCAAGGCUG
This 375-nucleotide ribosomal RNA is filed under the name uncultured bacterium. Its description in RNAcentral is "bacterial SSU rRNA". It matches the Rfam family "Bacterial small subunit ribosomal RNA", at positions 521 to 896 of the family's 1533-position model. The record is from RNAcentral.